This 235-nucleotide unclassified non-coding RNA is filed under the name plant metagenome. RNAcentral describes it as "partial contains small subunit ribosomal RNA, internal transcribed spacer 1, and 5.8S ribosomal RNA". The record is from RNAcentral.
UCUCCGUUGGUGAACCAGCGGAGGGAUCAUUACCGAAGUUACCUUCAAAACCCACUGUGAACCUUACCUCUUGCCGCGUUGUCUCGGCGGGAGGCGGUGUGCGUCGCGCGCCCUAGCGGGCCGCGCCGCUCCCGUCCCCCCCGGCAGCGCCAAACUCUAAAUGCACAGCGGACUGUACGUUCUGAUUUACAAAAAAAACAAGUUAAAACUUUCAACAACGGAUCUCUUGGUUCUG